Molecule: non-coding RNA, 36 nt
Filed under: unclassified sequences
Description: DUF805b RNA
Rfam family: DUF805b RNA
About the family: Bacteroidetes, Chlorobi (1 example), Proteobacteria. Lineage (Flavobacteria)
Source: RNAcentral
AACAGGGAAGCCGAAAACUGAAAUAAAGAGUAGGCA